CGCCGCGAUUCAACAUUUCAACCCAACAGCGCCGCGCGCCUCCCGCCACGCCAGCUCCCUCAUGCCGCGCCCGCCGCCUGCUCGACGGGAUGCGACCGCCGCGCCCGAUCCCGCCGCCCUCGGCUUCCCUCUUCAACUCCCUCAUCGCCUCCCGCGCCCGCGCCGGCCGCUCGGCGGACGCCCUCUCGCUCCUCGCGCGCAUGCUCGCGGCAGGGGUCGCCCCGACCGCCUUCACCUUCGCGCCAAUCCUCUCAUCGCCUUCCGCCACCGCCUGCUGCGCCGCGCAGCUGCACCCGCACAUCCUCAAGAGAGGGCUGCUCCACGGCGAGCCUUACUCGGGGACCUCGCUGGUGGGGUUCUUCGGGCGGAGUGGACGGUUUGAUGGAGCGCUCAAGGUGUUCGGUGAAAUGACGGUGAGGAGCGUGGUCACCUGGAACUGUCUCAUCUCUUCGUUCGUGCAGUUUGGACGCUCCUGCGAUGCCCUUUUCUGGUUCAAGGAGCUCAUGAGAAGCGGAGAUGGCUUAUCAGACGGCUCUCUUGUUGCAGUAUUGCCUGCGUUUGAGUCACCGGAGCAAGUUCAUGGUCUCAUGAGGAGAAUCGGAAUGGAUUCCUUCUCAGCAGUUGCAAAUGCAUUGCUGAAUUCAUACUGCACUUGCGGUGCUAUAUAUGUGACAGAGAAGAUGUUCAAUGAGUUGGUGUUCAGAGAUGUGGCGUCUUGGAAUACAAUGAUAACCGGUUUUGCUAGGAGCAAUGUCCCAGAGAGAGCUUUUGAGCUUUUCUUAAGUAUGCAACUUUGGGGUGAUUCGCCUAAUGAAAUAACAUUUGCCAGCGUUCUUUAUGCCUGCACCAGUAUGAAUGGACAUGAGCAUGGGAAGUUUAUUCACGCAAAAGUUAUCAAGCGUAAUCUCAAUACAAGUGUGUUUCUCAACACCUCAUUGGUUGAUUUCUAUGCAAACUGUAUUGGUUGGAGGGAUGCACAUAAAGUAGUUGAAGAGAUUCCUGAGAAUAGCACCACGUGUUGGAAUGCUCUGAUUUCUUGUCACUCUGAUAGCGACGGUCCUACUACUUUGGUUAUUCUGAGAGGCAUGUUACGAUCAGGGAUUAAACCGAAUGAAGUUAGUUUUUCUGCAUCUCUCAAGGAUCCUUCUCUUUUGGAUCUCCAGCAGAUUCACUCAUUAGCGACAAGAUUGGGUCAUGGUGAUAAUGACUAUGUUUCAAGUGGUAUCAUAUCAUCGUAUGCUUCACAUGGCAUUGUUUCUGAUGCCUUGACUUAUGGAGUUGCACUGAAUCCUGAUUCUUGUAGUGUCUCCAUGAAUGUUUUAGCUGGAGUGUAUAAUAAAGCUCGCAUGUAUCAAGAAACUAAGGAGCUACUAUUACAUCAGCAAGCUAGAGAUACUACUUCAUGGAGCAUACUUAUUACUGCCUGCGCACGCAGUGGUGAUUAUCUUGAAGCUUUUGGAUUUUUCAAGCAGAUGAGAAUUAUGGGGUAUCAUGUCGAUAACUAUGUAUUUGUGAGCUUGCUGAGCAUUUGUACAAAAAACAACAGUCUUGAUCUUGGCAAGUCGAUUCAUGGACUUAUCAUCAAGACCAUUUCCGGUUGCUGUGACACUUAUGUUGAUAAUAUGUUGCUAGAUAUGUAUGCUAAAUGUGGUAGAAUUGAAGACUGUCUCAGAGCUUUUGAGGAAAUGAAAGAUAGGAACCUUAUCUCAUGGACAACCAUGAUUUCCGGCCUUGGGCUUAAUGGGUUCUCUCAUAAGGCCUUGGCAUGGUUUAAAGCCAUGGAAAAGGAUGGCUGCAAACCUGACAAAGUAGCAAUUCUAGCAGUUCUGUCAGCUUGUAGACAUGGUAGACUUGUGGAGGAGGGGAUGAAGAUAUUCAAAAUUAUGAAAGCUAAUUAUUCAGUUGAAGCUGAGAUGGAGCAUUACAUUUGUGUGGUGGACAUGCUGUGUAAGUGUGGUCAUUUGAAGGAAGCUGGGGUUGUGAUUAGAGGCAUGCCAUUCCGACCAAGUACUGUCAUAUGGCGCACAUUCCUCCAAGGAUGCAAGACAUAUGGUGUAACUGAAGUACAAGUGUUUUGCUAGCAGUGGAUCAAAUAGAAUUCCUCUUGAUAACUGUAGAGGUGUGGAGGUCACAAGGGAAGGGAAAAGUGCAUGCCCAAGUCUCCAAGAGAAGCUAAAUGAAAUUAGUACCAAUGUAGGUAUAUCCCAAGUGAGCAUGAAGGAUCUACUGUUAUAUUCGAUUCAGUUUAUUUACUGAAAAAGGGCACUUCCAUCCACGAGUGUGCCAAAAGUUGUCUUUUCGCGGUAUGGGAAGGUCAGCUGGUUGUUGCAAGUUAGGAUGUGGCUAAUCAGUUGCAAAGACUAUAAAGCACAAGUCUGGGACAGAGACACCUACUGACAAUCUGAGGUACCUGGGGCUUUUGACGAAGCAUGCACAUUAGCAAGGCAAUAAGGCUUAUAUAGCUUCCAAGCAAAGGCUUUUAUUGGCUAUUGCGUUUCCUUCCGGCUGGGCACUGUCUGCAUAGCGACAAAGGUGUUCGUUAAGUAAUUGUUGGUGAUGGGGCACUCUUGUCAUAAUACCUGAAAGGUGAUUUGGUCAAAGAAUUCAAAGCAUUUUCUCACUCAAGAUUUGAAAUUAUCUAAUUGGUGGUGCAGAUAUCUGCUAUUACUUAUCAAAAUGAGAUAGCAAAAUUUAUAGCUCUAGGUCACUCCAAUUUACCAAAUUACAAAAGUGGCAUUUUCCCUGGUGCAGCGCCGUGGUACAUAUGAAGCUUGUUUUUGUGAUCUAUAUACAUGCUUGAAGGACCCAUUUGCACUCAGGGAGCGACUUCUGGGGUGAUUGCCACAAUACCAUCUCUGUGGUACAUGCUUGAAGGCCUCAUCUCCACAAAUGCAGGCAGGAUCAGAUCACCCUACUAAUGGUUUGGGU
RNA transcript from Panicum virgatum (switchgrass), 2928 nucleotides. It is a transcript of the gene named pentatricopeptide repeat-containing protein At3g58590-like, with no coding region annotated. The record is from RefSeq and is a predicted model, not a curated record. NCBI's taxonomy places the organism in Eukaryota, Viridiplantae, Streptophyta, Magnoliopsida, Poales, Poaceae. The transcript is spliced from 5 exons.